GAUGAACGCUGGCGGCGUGCUUAACACAUGCCAGUCGAACGGAAAGGCCGAAGCUUGCUUCGGUACUCGAGUGGCGAACGGGUGAGUAACACGUGGGUGAUCUGCCCUGUACUUCGGGAUAAGCUUGGGAAACUGGGUCUAAUACCGGAUAUGACGAUCUCUUGGAUGGGGUUGUGGAAAGCUUUUGCGGUAUGGGAUGAGCUCGCGGCCUAUCAGCUUGUUGGCGGGGUAAUGGCCUACCAAGGCGUCGACGGGUAGCCGGCCUGAGAGGGUGUACGGCCACAUUGGGACGGAGGUACGGCCCAGACUCCUACGGGAGGCAGCAGGGGGGAAUAUUGCACAAUGGGCGCAAGCCUGAUGCAGCGACGCCGCGUGGGGGAUGACGGCCUUCGGGUUGUAAACUCCUUUCGCAAUCGACGAAGCCUUUUGGUGACGGUAGGUUGAGAAGAAGCAGCGGCUAGCUACGUG
This 468-nucleotide ribosomal RNA is filed under the name uncultured bacterium. Its description in RNAcentral is "partial 16S ribosomal RNA". It matches the Rfam family "Bacterial small subunit ribosomal RNA", at positions 28 to 507 of the family's 1533-position model. The record is from RNAcentral.